CCCUUUAUCCUUCCCCCCUGCUCCCCUCCCCCUUUUUCUUACUUUCCUUCCUUUCUUCAGUCCUCACUCCUUCCCUCUUUCCCUUUCUUCCUUCCUUCCUGAUUCAUUCCCAUGUGUACUACAUCAAUAGCAGUUCAAAUCAGCACCCUCAAAUGAUUUGUCAUCCUGGAGUAGUAUUUUCUAGUGCAACCCACUGUGUGUGCAGACAUCCAUUUGGUCCAUACAUGUGGCUGCUGUGGAACCUGGGAGCCAGUGUAACAGACACCAACAAGCUGAUCUCAUGCUACUUCCUAUGAGCCAUGAGUCUCCUCUUCCGGAGAUUUGUGCCUUAUGCCAGUCUCCACGAAACUCUGUUGGACUAACUUGUGAGUAAGGAAAGGUUUGUAUAUUCAAGCUGAAGAGCAUAAAGAAGGACUGUUUAAGUGUGGAGAUUCCUCAAAAGACUAGGAAUAGACUUACCAUAUGACCCAGGAAUCCCACUCCUGGGCUUGUAUCCAGAAGGAAAUCUACUUCAGGAUGACACCUGCACCCCAACGUUCAUAGCAGCACUAUUUACAAUAGCCAAAACAUCGAAACAGCCUAAAUGUCCAUCAACAGGUGACUGGAUAAAGAAGAGGUGGUAUAUUUAUACAAUGGAAUACUACUCAGCCAUAAAAACCGACAACAUAAUGCCAUUUGCAGCAACAUGGAUGCUUCUGGAGAAUGUCAUUCUAAGUGAAGUAAGCCAGAAAGAGAAAGAAAAAUACCAUAUGAGAUCGCUCAUAUGUGGAAUCUAAAAAACAAAAGCAAACAAACAAACAAAAACAAAGCGUAAAUACAGGACAGAAAUAGACUCACAGACAGAGAAUACAGACUUGUGGCUACCAGGGGGGUGGAGGGUGGGAAGGGAUAGACUGGGAUUUCAAAAUUGUAGAAUAGAUAAACAAGAUUACACUGUAUAGCACAGGGAAAUAUACACAAAAUGUUAUGAUAACUCACAGAGAAAAAAA
Long non-coding RNA from Camelus dromedarius (Arabian camel), 989 nucleotides. RefSeq lists it as uncharacterized. The record is from RefSeq and is a predicted model, not a curated record. The transcript has 3 exons. Lineage: Eukaryota; Metazoa; Chordata; Mammalia; Artiodactyla; Camelidae.